Molecule: long non-coding RNA, 6471 nt
Organism: Rhododendron vialii
Lineage: Eukaryota; Viridiplantae; Streptophyta; Magnoliopsida; Ericales; Ericaceae
Exons: 2
Source: RefSeq, a predicted model, not a curated record
UUAGCUUUUAACGUAUGAAUACGAGUUCAAAAUCGAAAGACUUGUUUCGUUCAGCAGAGUUAUCCAAUCUUGGAUUCCAUCGCCGUUCAAUCACUUAGAUACUAGUAUCUCAGCCGCACGAUGCAGAUGACUUCACAAGAUGUCAGCAUUAUACACGUCUGUUUAUAUUAUAGGCUUUUAUCGGAUCAAACAGACUCAGCUUUUUAAUAGCGUACGGUGGUGCAUCAGUUCUUCUUAUAGCCCCCCAAUAUUCUCCUGGGGAUUGGUGGAAAAACCCCCCUCAGCUCUGCUAUAAAUACUCUCUCUCCUUUUCCCAUCUGCUCAACCCCUCUCUCUCUCUCUCUCCCUCCCUCCCUCCCUCUCCCUCUCACUCUCUCUCUCUCUCUCUUAAAAACCCUAUUAGGGUAAAUAGGUUUGGUAGGUCUACAGAUGACUCCCUUCGUAUUUUUCCACAGCUUUCUUGAACUGCAUCCGAUCCGUCGCAAUUUCGAGGUGAUUUAAAAAUUGCAGUUCAAUAAAGCUGUGGGAAGAUACGAAUCGGGUCAAAAGGGUGAUCGGAUUGGAUGCGGUUGCUUCUUCUUCCACAUGGAGAGCACUGACAAGAGAGGGUAAUUAAUUAAUUUUCAAUUGUCCUAAGCACCGCCAUAGGAUGGCCCAACUCUUUUUGCUGUCAUACUUUCACUUGAGACGCCACGUGGUGGUGCCUAAGAGCAUAAAGUGUUCUUUCUACAGAAGAAGCUGAAAUUUGAUAUGACUGCGCUUAUGUAUGAAAUUGGGGAUCGAUAUCAUUCUCUCGUUGUGAUGCCCUUUCUCUCGUCCCUUUAAUCUCUGCAGGUAACUGUUACAUUUGAUUAAUAAGUUUUUCCUCUGUGCCGUUCAAAAAAGCAAGACGAUAGACGCAACGCCGAGAUGUCUUGAGAAGCUGUUGGUCCCGAUCGAUAGGGUAAAAACAGACCAUGUGUGAAAAAAUUGACCUUGAUCGACUACAUGAAACAUAUUGUUCCUGUCUUAUUAUGGUCCUGAUGAAGCAUUGAUGAGAUUCCAAUGUUUUCUUGCAUACUCUUGAUCGUACAAGGAACAAAACAUUUUCGAUGCGUAUUUAGAUAUUUCAACUGCAGAGAAGCGUGUGCAGUUUAAUUUGAAUCGUUUACAAUAACAAUUUAGGCUUUGUUUGGUUGGUAUUUUAGUUUAGUUUAGUUUUGAUAGUGGGUAGAGAGAAAAAUAGAGUAAUGAUUGAAAAGAUAAGUAAUGAUUGAAGAAAGAAAUAAAGUAAUGAUUGGAAAACUAAACUAAAUUAGUAACCAAACACAACCUUAAUGGUUCAGAUCUAUUGAUUUUUUUUACCAGUAAAAUUAUAUAUGAAAACAAAUCUUGACCAUUAAAAAUACUAUCCGACGGUUGCCAUUUCCUGCAAGAUACAAAAUAGUCAGUACCUCAAAUUAAUAAUGGUCCCUCACUCCAACAACUAAAUUAAUGCGCCAAAACUUUUUUUGAUUUCCAUCUCCACUAUCGUUUCCAUAACAUAUUUUCCAUCUACAUUAUCAUUGUCCCAUCACUGUAAUUCAUCACAUCAUGUUAAUAGGCUUUAGAGUAGAUCUUUUUUCUGGGCAACCUUGUAUCCGUUUGUGGGGUCUUCAGCUGCCAUGUGAUUGUCGAGGGUUGGAUGCCAAUCUAGUUGAGAUAUUUUUCCUCGUGAUGCCAUUUUAUUGUUGCCCCUCUUGAUUUUUGUACUCAUUCGAUCAAAGAUCAAUAAAAUCCUUCUUUUUCGCUGUUCAAAAAACACAAGUAAAAUGGGUAAGGAAGUACAAACAAAACUUUUGUAUUGUGUGUGCACGUAGAGUAUAAUCUGCAACUAAAAUGAAACCUAUGACACCCCAUCUUUUUUUUUUGUCGUACAACAGACAUUUCAGGAUUCUAUAAAGGCCUUCCGAAUUAGUUAGUCAAUUGGGCCGGAUACGAUGACAUGGAUCGAUCCUAUGUACAUUUUCUUACAAUGAUCUGGAUCGAUCCUAUGUACAUUUUCUUACAAUGAUCUGGAUCGAUCCAUAUAUGCAUCCAAUUGAACCAACGUACCCGUGUCUCCUAAUAGUCUUCCCUAAGCACAUUAUUAGAUUCACAUUAUUAUUGAUCAUAUGUUAGCUAGCUGGAAGAUUCCUAGGCCAUCCUCUGUGAUGAUCAUGUUUGCUAAUGGAAGAAAUUAACACACUAUAUAUACUGCUUACUCAUGCUUUAUGAUUUUUUUAAGUGUAACGUAUCCCGAAAUUAGGGUUGUUACUUUUUAGUAUCUGCUUUACUUUUGUUGGAGAUUAAAUUUUUUGGAAUAGCAUUGUAGGCAUAAAGUUGAACACAUGAGGUCAUUAAGUGAUUAAAACUAAUGGCUGUUGGAUUAGUACUUUUACGAUGCUACCCCUCUUCCAAGUCAAGUGUGCUUUGUCUGAUUUUUGUUGAUGGUUUUACUUUUGGAUAUAAAAGCUGCAAAAAGUUGAGGACUGUAUACCUUUGUGUUUGUUGAUUUUUGGUACAAGACAAAUGGGAUGAAAGUAAUCGAAAGUGAAAAUAGAGAGAGAGAGAGAGAGAGAGAGAGAGAGAGAGAGAGUCAAAAGGCUGAAUGGAUCAAACAACUACAAGUAUGCAUGCAUGAAUGCAUGGCAUGCUUUCCAAAUUGAAUGAAGAAAUGUAGGCAAGUGUUGGUGAUCAUAAUUUCCUGCAAUGUUCUUUUUUCUAUCUGUUGGAAAAUAAGGAAAAAAGAGAGGGGAAAAGGCCGUAAACACCGAUAUUAUUAGUUGAUUUUUUUGUUUUUGUUUUUUUGGGGUAAAAUGAGUGCAGCAGUUUUUAUUUUUUAUUUUUUAAAACUUUGUAGAGAUGAAAGAAUGAAAAGAAUUUCUGGGGAUGCCCAUGUCCCAUGUGGGGACAUAAGAUUUAAUUAUUUUUGCUACUUUUCAAAGUGGAUUGUACCAAAUGAGCUGUCUCUACUCAUAGUUAUUAAGCAUAUGGUCCCUAAUAUUGUGAAAGCUUCAAAGAUUCAACGGUCGAGAUUUUUCCUAUACCUUACAUCAAGGGGGGACACAAUUAAGCAAAUGGCCCCUCAUAUUGUGCAAACUUUAAAGGACUUUUAAUCAUAUGUCCAUGCUUGUGUGUGUGUGUGUGAGAGAGAGAGAGAGAGAGAGAGAGAGAGAGAGAGAGAGAGAGAACAUACCUGAUGGAAACAGUGGCUCAUAGGUUUUAAAUUAAUACUGGAGUACUAGCUAGUUUUUGGAGCAAUAAAUACUAAAAGAAAAAAUGCCAAAAGCAGCAAAGCAGGAGUAGAAAACCCAAAUACGAGGGAGCAAACCACCCAGCAAAUUCUCGAUCUGCAACAACCAAUUGUACUGUUAUUCUUAGAAAAUGAAGAUAUAUACAAGCACUAGUGUAGAAAUUGGCUUGCAUUCUUGAAGUACUACUAGUGUUUUGGAAGCCAAAGUCAUUAAGCAAUAUUAAUUUGGUUUUCAAAGCAAAUGAAGGAUUUCAUUUUUUUGGCACAAAAAGGAAUCCUACUUUAGCGUUAGUCUAGUGGGUAGGGAACGAGACCUUAUUAUGAGACUCUAACCGAUAUAUAGAGGGAGCAACUUACAAUUUGGGCUAUGUGCCCUUUAUUCUCAAUUUCACUUCUUUCUUGCGUGGUUGAUUGAUGGAAUUCUUAUAUAUGAGCAAUCAGAAAAAGAAAAAAAAAAACAAAAUUAUGAAUUUCCGUUUGACCGGGAAAAAAAAUCAGCAGAAACAAAAUUAUGAAAAGCGGAAAAAAAUUCACCUAGAAAUGCAAAGUAAAAAUGCGAAUUCGGGAUCUCAACUACGUACCAUCUGAUCCAAGUAAGCAGUGAAACGUGGGAAGUGACAGAAACGUUUAUGAGAAGGACAGGCAUAAUAUGCAACAAUUAAAAGAAUUCCAGAAAUUCUUAUGCAAAGGAAAAUAGCCUAGGGAAAUUAGGUUUGAAUUAUGGUGUAGAUCACCAGUUAAACAGGUUAAUUAGAAAAGGCCGGCAUUGACAGCCAGCUUUGAGUUCCCUAAUAUAUCAAUUCAACCACCAAAAAUGAAAAAUUAGGUUUGAAUUACUCAUUGUGUUGGCUUGAGUUUUUCUUUUUUCUUUUUCUUUCUUUUGAACCGCAGAGAUAAUUUUAUUAAUCUCAACCAAUAUACAAGGAGAAUAAAGGGAGACGAGGCAUCAUAGCUAAAAGAAAAAGCAUCACAUCUAUAUCGGCACCCGUACCGAGAUAAAUCCUUUCCUUAUCCUUUUCCUUUUUCUUUCUGAUGAGGGGCAUGAGGAUAAUUCCACUUGAAGGAUGGGUGAGGCUCUUGGGCCUGUGUCUGUGGGGUUAGCUCCCACGUUGGGAGUUUUGGUUUGUGUGUAUGUAUUUAAAGGGUCCAUAGUUUAACCCCAAAGGUUUGGCCUAGGAGAUUUUGAAAAAAGUAAGGAGCUCGCCCUCUAAACUCCUAGGCAUCAGCAAAUCUCUAGGCCACUGCGGGUUUGUUUAUUCGACAAUUUUGAAAUCCAUGAUAAUCGAGGUGCUCGUGAGUUAGUCUGAACAGCUCAGAUUAAAAAAAUGAAAGAGAGAAGAAAUGUACAGUAUGUGGUUUUCUGAGGGAGGGAGAGAGAAAGAGUAGUACUAGCUAGCUAGUUUCCACAUGGUGACAAAGUUUAACCUUUUUCCACAGAAAUGGAGAAGAUGAUCACACACAGUGAUGAUCACUCAAUAACAAAAAAACGAAAGGGCGUGCAAACCAGAGGAACAAUCAAUUAUUGAGGAAAAAGAGGAAAGCUGGGUGGGGAAUCUUCCCUGCAACAUAUCUCUGUUUUCACCACUUUGAUUGAUCAGUCCUCAGAAUUUGGCAAUUAAUAAACGAAAAUUCAGCACUUUUAUGGAAACAAAAAACAAAAAAAAAAAGAAAAAUAUUUCAAGCAACCUAUCUCAGUCAAAUGAACAUAUAUUUUGGGAAUCAGUUUUGAUCUUCUUUUCAGUGUUAUUAUUUGGUGAAAAAUAUGCCGCUCUAGAUAGUUUUGUAAUUUGUGCAAACCGAAGUAAAAUUAAAAAAAUUCAAAUAUAAGCGUAUUUUCUGAACUCACUUAUUGAAGGCGAAAAAAUGUAAGGAAAGUGGGGUGGGGUGCGAAAGUCAGUACACCCUCCGGGCUCCGUCUCAAUUUAAAUGCUUCCUAUGAAAAAUUGUGUAACUUUGAUCUCAAAAAAAAUCAUAUUUUUUGUAAUAUUUUCCGAACUUUUUUUGCACCGUUGGAAAGUACUUAUUGUGAUCCAUUGAAUUGAAUGGUGCAAAAAAAAAAAUUAAAAAUUAAUUUCGAAAGUACAUUAUUUUUUAGGCCAAAGUUACACGAUCUCUCAUGGAGAACAUUUAAAUUGGGACAGAGGGAGUAGUCAAUACCUAUACCAACAUGUAAGUCUUGGAUAAAUUUUCGGCAUUAUUUGCAUCAAUUUUUUGCAAAUUUAACAGAAAAUUAGUAAAAUGUAUGAAGCCCACGUCAUAAUUCUAAAUCAUAUCACAAUCGAGUCACACAAACUCUCUCAUUUGACACAACUUGCACCAAAUUCAACACAAGUUUUUUAAAAGCAUGAAACCCACAUCACAAUUCAACACCACACUCAAUUUCUGGAAAAGAAGCUGCCAUUAAUUCAUGUCUAUUAAUUUGGUGAAAUUCUAGUUGCUAAACCUUUCAAUAUGAGUUUUUUUUUUUUUUGGGUAAUGCAAGGUAUCCCGGGCCAACUUGCGCGCACUUAGCUCGGACUAUUCUCCAUAGUCGUUUCACAAGCUUAUGAGUGGGAGUAAGGUGACCUCAAGAAUUGCUAGUAAGGAAAAUCGAACCUAAAAUCUUAGGAAUGUGCAAACCGGCCCCUAAGUCUCAGGCUAAGAUUGCCAAGACAACCCAAUGGGGUUCUUUGAAUAUGAGUUCCGACAAAACGGGCUUGCAAAUUGCAAUAUAACAAAACUGGGUUUAAUUUCUAAGAUUUGGUGCACCAUAUCUUAGAAAUUGAACAGACUAUUUGUCUCACUCACAACUGGGUUUGCACCAAAACUUUACACAAUUCAAUGGAAAAUAUGUAACAGUUAGCAUGAAACCCACAUUGUAAAUCUAAAGUUUGAUUUAAAAAAAAUGUAAAAAAACUGAAUGAUUUUUUUUUUUUGAUCCGCAAAUGAAUGAUUAAUUCAGGUCAAGUAGUAUGCAAAAUUAUUGUUCAAAACCUUUUCACAAGAUUUUGUCCAGAUGGGUUUGUACAGAAUUACCGUAAUCAACAAUUGAGAGAAAUACCCAUGUACUGCAAGAAGUUUUCAGCCUAAUCUUUGCGGCAAUCAACUCCAAGAGAUUGUAAGCUAGCUAGCCCUGAAUUUGCCAUAUCUUCCCACAGCUUUCUUGAACUUCCACAGUUGAUCGAGAGAGAGAGAGAGAGAGAGAGAGAGAGAGAGAGAGAGAGAGAGAGAGAGAGAAU